UCGUCGCAAGCCUCCUCUCUUUCGCUUCUUCUUCAUCGUUACAACUUACAACUUUUCGCAUUUUCUUCCGUUUCUCUACUUUUGAUCAUUCAUUCCUCUUCUUUAAUCCUAUCUACGUGAGCAAUGAUAUCCUUUCAACUUCCUCUCUUUCUCCAACUACAUAAACCCAUCUGUCUGUUGAAGUUUUUUUACCAAACCAAAUUCUACAACCUUCGUUCACCAAAAACAAUCGAUGGGCAUGAAAUUGGUUCAAACCUCCGGCAAGUCUCCGGUUGCUUUAUAUGUCAACGACGUUGGAUAAUGGGAGUCAUACUAAUCUCAACGGGUCCAUCAGCAUUGGAACUAUACUUCUGUUUGAUCCAUUUCUGAGAGGCCGGAACCGGUUCGAAAGGUGGAGCUCUUAUUGGCUUAGAGCUUCUCAUCAUCGACGAACAGGCCACUCUGAUCCAAGCGUUCAUCUCAUCACAUCGUGCUCCACGGUACGAGCUUUGAGGAAUUUCUACGCAACGAAAAGCAAAGAGCUACGCAGCAACAAUGUUCUACAAAUUCACGGCCAGUGUCGACAACUCCCGUCAUCCUUUUAGUGGCGACUGUGAAUCCAAAUCGUAUCGGUGGGACCCUUGCCUUCAGCUCAAUGUCAUCAUCAGGUGUGUUCAUCGACAAAGAUUUCAACCCACAAUCGACUACUUCAAUUGUUGAAUUAUAACCCAGAGAUUGCUAAGGAAGUGAAUGCAUAGGAGGAGGUGACUAAAGCUGGGUCGGUGACAAUUGGAAAAAAUAUUUGCUUAUAUCAAGCAAGGAUCGGCCAAGGAGGCUUUCUUGAGUGCAUAGUGACAAUUGAUGAUGUUUAACCAUGAUUCUCCUUGGUAUUAUAUCGUUUGCAGUUAUUGCAAAACAGAGGCCAACAGAAGGCCCUUCUUCGUUUGUGCUCUAAAUGCAGCAAUGAAAACGUAACCGGGGUCAAAAAGCCGUGAGCUAACUGGAAAGCAUGCCUCCGGAUUGGUUGAUAAAUACUUUGAGGCUAAUGGUGAUCUUGGUCCUGACCAUGAGAUGCCUGCAUGUCCCACAAGCUUUGAUCGACACCAUUGGUCAAACACAUAGGUUCAAGGUGAAAGUUUUUGAAUACAAAGGAAGGACUCAGGCUAUAACAGUUAUGAAGGUUGUCUCUCCCGCAGUCCUGCAACCUUUAACAGCCCCAGUUGGAAUCCCACUUGCCACCACUUUUAAAGUGCCUCUAUUUUCUGCAAGUUGAUUAGGGUCCGUCCUUCAAAGACUGGAGACCUAGCUGAUGAAGAAAACGCCAGUACAAGUACUGUGACGAAGCACAGAGAGGAAAACGUGCUAAACUUGAGUAAUAGAGCAUUAACCACUAUCUUAUAGAAUGCACUCAUGCGUAGGAGUGUAGCUUAUCUUUUCAUUUUUAAUUCUGAGCUUUUGCUAAGUUUUUAUAUAUAUUUAACUAUGGCUUUACAUA
This is a long non-coding RNA of Brassica oleracea var. oleracea, 1474 nucleotides long. RefSeq lists it as uncharacterized. The transcript is spliced from 7 exons. NCBI's taxonomy places the organism in Eukaryota, Viridiplantae, Streptophyta, Magnoliopsida, Brassicales, Brassicaceae. The record is from RefSeq and is a predicted model, not a curated record.